This 400-nucleotide ribosomal RNA is filed under the name uncultured bacterium. RNAcentral describes it as "bacterial SSU rRNA". It matches the Rfam family "Bacterial small subunit ribosomal RNA", at positions 355 to 773 of the family's 1533-position model. The record is from RNAcentral.
UGGGGAAUAUUGGACAAUGGGGGAAACCCUGAUCCAGCCAUGCCGCGUGAGUGAUAAGGCCUUCGGGUUGUAAAGCUCUUUUGGUGGGGACGAUGAUGACGGUACCCACAGAAUAAGCCCCGGCAAACUUCGUGCCAGCAGCCGCGGUAAUACGAAGGGGGCAAGCGUUGUUCGGAAUUAUUGGGCGUAAAGGGCGCGUAGGCGGCUUGAUAAGUUGGAUGUGAAAGCCCCGGGCUUAACCUGGGAACUGCAUUCGAUACUGUCAAGCUAGAGGAUGGGAGAGGUCAGUGGAAUUCCAAGUGUAGAAGUGAAAUUCGUAGAUAUUUGGAGGAACACCAGUGGCGAAGGCGACUGACUGGACCAUUUCUGACGCUGAGGCGCGAAAGCGUGGGGAUCAAAC